This 492-nucleotide long non-coding RNA is filed under the name Heterocephalus glaber (naked mole-rat). RNAcentral describes it as "lncRNA (ENSHGLG00000050607.1)". The record is from RNAcentral. Lineage: Eukaryota; Metazoa; Chordata; Mammalia; Rodentia; Bathyergidae.
AGAAGAACAGAUCAACCUGCCUUACUCAAAACAAUCUGUGCACAAGCAGUGUCCUCAUCUCAAGAAUGAGUUAGAAAUGCAGAGUCCCAGGCCCCGCCCUAGUCUCCUGAAUCAAAUCUGCUUUUCAGCAAGCUCCCCAUUUGAUUGGCACGUAUGUUGAAGUGUGACACACUGGUAGAAAUGACUGAUACCAUCUCAUUGGUGGAAAACAGGUUUCGAAGAAUCGAGACAUGUGAGAAGGAAAAAGAAAGAUGGCAUGAGGAGGCAAAGCUAGAUCUCUCGUGACUCAGGCAGAUGGAGAAGAAGCAAAGAAAAGGAGAAACAGGGAUGGCCUUAGAGCCAGACAGGCCAAACUUCAAAUCCUGCCUCUGUCACUUGGCACUCACUCUGUAUGCAUUUCAUCAUAGGUGGAGUGGAACUGAAGUUCUUGAACCUUUUUAGGAGAGAAAGACAGUUUUUACUUGGUAAUGGUGAAUGGAAGAGUUCACUGCC